Molecule: long non-coding RNA, 1611 nt
Organism: Eptesicus fuscus (big brown bat)
Lineage: Eukaryota; Metazoa; Chordata; Mammalia; Chiroptera; Vespertilionidae
Exons: 2
Source: RefSeq, a predicted model, not a curated record
UCUGUUUAAACUCUGGUAAAUAUCUAGUAGGAGUCAAAAACUCGGACUGUUUGGUAUAUAAAUAUAAAUGUGAAAAUAUUUGUUAUCUCUUUCUGCUGUUUAAUUUAUUUAAAGAUAGGGCGGACCUGCUGUGGCGGAAUACAAAGGUCUUUAGCAGCUGCUGAGACACCUUUUUCAGAGUCUUUGUUCUCCGUCAGAGAGGGAAUCAGCCCACUUAGAUGAUAAAAAUUCCUCUGUUUGUAUAAAUGAAGGUUUCAGUUUGCUCUGAUUUGUGAAUUUACUGUAUUAAAUUGAAUUUUAAAGUUCUAAGGUUGAUUUAAAAGUAUCCAUUUAUAACAUUUCAAAGAACAAAGGAACUUUUAUUUACAGCUUCCUUAUCUCUUUUGGUGCUCGGAGACUCCCAGCUAACAACUUCACAGGGCGGAAAGAUUUACAGGCCUGUGACAUCAUAGUCCAACGUGGAACUAAGGCUGAAGUUACUAUUAACUCUUUAUAGACCCCGUUAACCGUUUGUUUAACUUACUGUUUUCAGUUAUUAGGAUCCUCAGAGAGGACAUAACCUGGACUUUCCCUUCCUCUCUCAUCCUGAUUCUAAUAGCAUCUGUAACUGGAUUAAAAAUCUUUUCUUUCAGGAGGCCAUCCAGGCUUUAAGCUCACAAGAAAUCUUCUCCUGCGAGAGGAGAGAGGGACCCCCCGGAAGGGGCUGGAGGCUCUCCCUCCUGCGAGAGGAGAGAGGGACCCCCCGGAAGGGGCUGGAGGCUCUCCCUCUCAACAGGGACAGGAAGAAACUGAAAGCUGGAAUUCAUAACCAUUCCCUUACUCAAGUCCUUACAGGCUGUGCAGUAUACCCAGAAAGCCACCCAUAAGCUUGUUCCUGUACAACCCUUCCAGCCCAAGGACUCGGUAUAGGUAAAGAAGUUCACUGCCCAAGGACUCACCCCAACCUGGAAGGGAUGCUACACUGUUAUCCUGAGCACGCCCACGGCUGUUGAAGUAGACAGCGUCCAGACCUGGCUACACCACUCCCAGCUCCUGCACCAGGAAACGGCCUUGGUCCUGGCAACCAGCGGCCUCACCCGUGAGAUCCCUAGCCUGGGCUCCACGCAGGCCAGGAGGAAACUCAACACCUGCAGGAGAAGAACUGGAAUUCACUGUGGACAGUACUGUUGGGGACUGUAGUACUAAAGGCCUUAACCAGAAGUAAAAGACAAAGUAAAAAUGCAAACCGUCUCAUGAUUGAGCCGGGUGUCCCAAGACAAGGGGGGAAUGAAAGGGCAGAGCAGGACAGCACAAAAUGUACUGUACCCUCCACCCUGUGUAACUAUGUAUAUAACUCCUUUUUCUUAGAAAACCGCGAGAAUGUAACAAUUGCAUGAACCUGCCAAUAGGAAUGUAGAGAGAUGGACUCAGUCCACCUUAAGCAAGCUACCCAGUGUGCCUUUGUGUAACUGGACCCCUCACCCUACCCCUGACCAAUCAUAAACACUCUCCCUGCCCACUGCUUGAGACCCCCUUAAAGCCUUUGUGUUGGCGAGAGAAUUUCUCUUGGUCCCCGGUGAGCGCUGGAGAUGAGAGCUCGUGCUAGCACGAAUAAAGGUUCUCUUGCAGUUA